GGGGGCCUACGGGAGCCAGCAGUGGGGAAUCUUAGACAAUGGGCGCAAGCCUGAUCUAGCCAUGCCGCGUGAGUGAUGAAGGCCUUAGGGUCGUAAAGCUCUUUCGCCAGGGAUGAUAAUGACAGUACCUGGUAAAGAAACCCCGGCUAACUCCGUGCCAGCAGCCGCGGUAAUACGGAGGGGGUUAGCGUUGUUCGGAAUUACUGGGCGUAAAGCGCGCGUAGGCGGAUUAGUCAGUUAGAGGUGAAAUCCCAGGGCUCAACCCUGGAACUGCCUUUAAUACUGCUAGUCUUGAGUUCGAGAGAGGUGAGUGGAAUUCCGAGUGUAGAGGUGAAAUUCGUAGAUAUUCGGAGGAACACCAGUGGCGAAGGCGGCUCACUGGCUCGAUACUGACGCUGAGGUGCGAAAGUGUGGGGAGCAAACAGGAUUAGAUACCCUGGUAGUCCACACCGUAAACGAUGAAUGCCAGUCGUCGGGUAGUAUACUAUUCGGUGACACACCCUAACGGAUUAAGCAUUCCGCCUGGGAGUACGGUCGCAAGAUAA
This 545-nucleotide ribosomal RNA is filed under the name uncultured Roseobacter sp. Its description in RNAcentral is "bacterial SSU rRNA". It matches the Rfam family "Bacterial small subunit ribosomal RNA", at positions 333 to 896 of the family's 1533-position model. Lineage: Bacteria; Pseudomonadati; Pseudomonadota; Alphaproteobacteria; Rhodobacterales; Roseobacteraceae. The record is from RNAcentral.